GGGUCAACCUCUUCNGCUGUGCGCUCUGGCUGCACGCUGUUGAACCUCUCACACCUGUGCACCAUUCGGUCGCGGUUUGGUUAAACAAGCCGCUUCCGCCUUUUACAUCAAACUACAGUUAAGAAUGUCUAAACUAUAAAGUAACAACUUUCAACAACGGAUCUCUUGGCUCUCGCAUCGAUGAAGAACGCAGCGAAAUGCGAUAAGUAAUGUGAAUUGCAGAAUUCAGUGAAUCAUCGAAUCUUUGAACGCACCUUGCGCUCCAUGGUAUUCCGUGGAGCAUGCCUGUUUGAGUGUCACGUAAACCCUCACCCCUCGCAAUGUAAAAAUUGCGAAGGGUGGAUUUGGAUUCUGCCGUAGCUGGCUGAUCCUGAAAUGCAUUAGCUUGCGCCUUUUAGAGUGCUCGGCAUGGUGUGAUAAUUAUCUGCGCCGUCGCCUCAGGCCUCUUCUGUGAGCGCUGCUUAUAGCUGUCCCUUGUGGACAAUAUUUAAAGCUUUGGCCUCAAAUCAGGUAGGAUUACCCGCUGAACUUAAGCAUAUCAAUAAGCGGAGGA
Molecule: ribosomal RNA, 553 nt
Filed under: uncultured fungus
Lineage: Eukaryota; Fungi
Description: eukaryotic LSU rRNA
Rfam family: 5.8S ribosomal RNA (bases 146-299)
Source: RNAcentral